RNAcentral lists this ribosomal RNA (91 nucleotides) under Halalkalibacillus sediminis. The record is from RNAcentral. Lineage: Bacteria; Bacillati; Bacillota; Bacilli; Caryophanales; Bacillaceae.
CACCUGUUCCCAUGCCGAACACAGCCGUUAAGCUCUCUAGCGCCGAUGGUAGUUGGGGUUCUUCCCCUGUGAGAGUAGGACGCUGCCGGGC